RNAcentral lists this ribosomal RNA (468 nucleotides) under uncultured bacterium. RNAcentral's name for it is "partial 16S ribosomal RNA". It matches the Rfam family "Bacterial small subunit ribosomal RNA", at positions 28 to 507 of the family's 1533-position model. The record is from RNAcentral.
GACGAACACUGGCGGCGUGCCUAAUACAUGCAAGUCGAACGGAAAGGUUAUGCCUUUGUGGGCUGCACGAGUGGCGAACGGGUGAGUAACACGUGAGUAACCUGCCCUUGACUGUGGGGUAACUUCAGGAAACUGGGGCUAACACCGGAUAGUAGCUCAUGCUGCUUGUUGGUGGUUGGAAAUUUUCGGCGGUUGGGGAUGGACCCGCGGCUUAUCAGCUUGUUGGUGGGGUAGCUGAUUGGAAAGGUUUCGGCGGGUCGCCGGACUGAGAGGGUGACCGGCCACAUUGGGCCAGGGGUGGGGGCAGGAGUGAUACGGGGGGCAGGGGUGAGGGAUAUUGCACGAUGGGCGGAGGGCGGGAGGAGGGACGCCGGGUGGGGGAGGUCGGCCUUCGGGUUGUAAACCGCUUUCGCCUGGGACGAAGCGUGAGUGACGGUAAUGGAUAAAGAAGCACCGGCUAACUACGUG